AUUAUCUGGCACGCCUCAAAAGUUACAUUGCAUUGGAUGCUGUUUUUGAAUUGUGAAAAUUAUCUGAUUUAUUAUGAGCAUCCUUGGUUGUGUUUGUCAUAUGGACUGAAGGCCCACACGUUCCAUUGUGAAAGUACCACUAAUGAUGUGCUAGUUCUCAAGGAUGUCUCAGAGUGCCGCAGCUGACACCCGAUCACACUGCUCACUCUGGUGCUAGCACACUUUGCCUGACGAGUGUAAAAUCUCAUGAAACAGAUCUGAAGAGGUAAGCGGGGAUCUGCAUUGGCUUGCAGGGGCAUGAAGCAAAAAAGGAAAAAAUGCAGCUUGUGAUUCUACUUCUCUUUUUAUUGGGGCUGAAUUGAUGUCUG
RNAcentral lists this long non-coding RNA (368 nucleotides) under Coturnix japonica (Japanese quail). Its description in RNAcentral is "lncRNA (ENSCJPG00005004047.1)". Lineage: Eukaryota; Metazoa; Chordata; Aves; Galliformes; Phasianidae. The record is from RNAcentral.